UCUAGUCUACUAUUUACAUAGGUCUAUAUUACGGCUAUAGGAUUGAGUUAAUAAACUCGGCUAGCU
RNAcentral lists this transfer RNA (66 nucleotides) under Benedenia hoshinai. Its description in RNAcentral is "tRNA-Arg". The record is from RNAcentral. Lineage: Eukaryota; Metazoa; Platyhelminthes; Monogenea; Capsalidea; Capsalidae.